RNAcentral lists this ribosomal RNA (718 nucleotides) under uncultured Thermodesulfobacteriota bacterium. RNAcentral's name for it is "bacterial SSU rRNA". It matches the Rfam family "Bacterial small subunit ribosomal RNA", at positions 69 to 767 of the family's 1533-position model. The record is from RNAcentral. Lineage: Bacteria; Pseudomonadati; Thermodesulfobacteriota.
CUUCUCUGUAGCAAUACAGGGUAGCUUCUAGUGGCGCACGGGUGAGUAACACGUGGGCAACCUGCCCUUGAGUUCGGGAUACCCUCUCGAAAGGGAGGCUAAUACCGGAUACGUUCCUCAGAUCGCAAGGUCUGGGGAGGAAAGGUAGCGAAAGCUGCCGCUCUUGGAGGGGCUCGCGGCCUAUCAGCUAGUUGGUGGGGUCACAGCUCACCAAGGCUAUGACGGGUAGCUGGUCUGAGAGGACGACCAGCCACACGGGAACUGAGACACGGUCCCGACUCCUACGGGAGGCAGCAGUGGGGAAUUUUCCGCAAUGGGCGAAAGCCUGACGGAGUGACGCCGCGUGGGGGACGAAGGCCUUCGGGUUGUAAACCCCUGUCAGAGGGAAAGAAGGGUUCCGGCGUGAAUAGCGUCGGGAUUUGACGGUACCUUCAGAGGAAGCCCCGGCCAACUCUGUGCCAGCAGCCGCGGUAAGACAGAGGGGGCAAGCGUUGCUCGGAAUCACUGGGCGUAAAGGGCGCGUAGGCGGGAUGGCAAGUCGGUCGUGAAAUCCCUGGGCUCAACUCAGGGGGGUCGGCCGAUACUGCCGUUCUUGAGGGAUGCAGAGGAGACUGGAAUUCCCGGUGUAGCGGUGAAAUGUGUAGAGAUCGGGAGGAACACCGGUGGCGAAGGCGGGUCUCUGGGCAUUUCCUGACGCUGAGGCGCGAAAGCGUGGGGA